Molecule: ribosomal RNA, 427 nt
Filed under: uncultured bacterium
Lineage: Bacteria
Description: bacterial SSU rRNA
Rfam family: Bacterial small subunit ribosomal RNA
Source: RNAcentral
UGGGGAAUCUUGCGCAAUGGGCGAAAGCCUGACGCAGCGACGCCGCGUGAGUGAUGAAGGCCCUCGGGUUGUAAAGCUCUGUGGAGGGGGACGAAUAAGCGUUGGUUAAUAUCCAGCGUGAUGACGGUACCCUUUUAGCAAGCACCGGCUAACUCUGUGCCAGCAGCCGCGGUAAGACAGAGGGUGCAAACGUUGUUCGGAAUUACUGGGCGUAAAGCGCGUGUAGGCUGCUUCGCAAGUCGGAUGUGAAAGCCCUGGGCUCAACCCAGGAAGUGCAUUCGAAACUGCAGAGCUGGAGUCCUGGAGAGGAAGGCGGAAUUCUCGGUGUAGAGGUGAAAUUCGUAGAUAUCGAGAGGAACACCGGUGGCGAAGGCGGCCUUCUGGACAGUGACUGACGCUGAGACGCGAAAGCGUGGGGAGCAAACAG